Molecule: ribosomal RNA, 374 nt
Filed under: uncultured bacterium
Lineage: Bacteria
Description: bacterial SSU rRNA
Rfam family: Bacterial small subunit ribosomal RNA
Source: RNAcentral
UACGUAGGGAGCAAGCGUUAUCCGGAAUUACUGGGCGUAAAGGGCGUGUAGGCGGCCAAUUAAGCUAGGUGUAAAAUGUUACAGCUCAACUGUAAACCCGCAUCUAGAACUGGUUGGCUAGAGGAUGAGAGAGGAAAGUGGAAUUCCUAGUGUAGCGGUGGAAUGCGUAGAUAUUAGGAGGAACACCAGUGGCGAAGGCGGCUUUCUGGCUCAUACCUGACGCUGAGGCGCGAACACGUGGGGAGCAAACAGGAUUAGAUACCCUGGUAGUCCACGCCGUAAACGAUGAGUACUAGGUGUAGGAGGCAACAACCUUCUGUGCCGCAGCUAACGCAAUAAGUACUCCGCCUGGGGAGUACGCUCGCAAGAGUGAA